UAAUAAGUGUUUAUGGCGCUCCUUAAAUCCAUAUCCACCUUGUGUGCAAUGUCAGCCGUUUUCUUUAUGAAAGCGGCCAAACAUCAACUUAUUUUUUAACUGUCUGUCUGAAAACUAUUAUGAAUAAACAAUUCAAAUA
Molecule: unclassified non-coding RNA, 139 nt
Filed under: soil metagenome
Description: partial internal transcribed spacer 1
Source: RNAcentral